This 2233-nucleotide ribosomal RNA is filed under the name Campylobacter jejuni. Its description in RNAcentral is "partial 23S ribosomal RNA". It matches the Rfam family "Bacterial large subunit ribosomal RNA", at positions 705 to 2925 of the family's 2925-position model. The record is from RNAcentral. Lineage: Bacteria; Pseudomonadati; Campylobacterota; Epsilonproteobacteria; Campylobacterales; Campylobacteraceae.
UGCUGCAGACCCGAAACGAAGUGAUCUAUCCAUGAGCAAGUUGAAGCUAGUGUAAGAACUAGUGGAGGACUGAACCCAUAGGCGUUGAAAAGCCCCGGGAUGACUUGUGGAUAGGGGUGAAAGGCCAAUCAAACUUCGUGAUAGCUGGUUCUCUCCGAAAUAUAUUUAGGUAUAGCGUUGUGUCGUAAUAUAAGGGGGUAGAGCACUGAAUGGGCUAGGGCAUACACCAAUGUACCAAACCCUAUCAAACUCCGAAUACCUUAUAUGUAAUCACAGCAGUCAGGCGGCGAGUGAUAAAAUCCGUCGUCAAGAGGGAAACAACCCAGACUACCAGCUAAGGUCCCUAAAUCUUACUUAAGUGGAAAACGAUGUGAAGUUACUUAAACAACCAGGAGGUUGGCUUAGAAGCAGCCAUCCUUUAAAGAAAGCGUAAUAGCUCACUGGUCUAGUGAUUUUGCGCGGAAAAUAUAACGGGGCUAAAGUAAGUACCGAAGCUGUAGACUUAGUUUACUAAGUGGUAGGAGAGCGUUCUAUUUGCGUCGAAGGUAUACCGGUAAGGAGUGCUGGAGCGAAUAGAAGUGAGCAUGCAGGCAUGAGUAGCGAUAAUUAAUGUGAGAAUCAUUAACGCCGUAAACCCAAGGUUUCCUACGCGAUGCUCGUCAUCGUAGGGUUAGUCGGGUCCUAAGUCGAGUCCGAAAGGGGUAGACGAUGGCAAAUUGGUUAAUAUUCCAAUACCAACAUUAGUGUGCGAUGGAAGGACGCUUAGGGCUAAGGGGGCUAGCGGAUGGAAGUGCUAGUCUAAGGUCGUAGGAGGUUGUACAGGCAAAUCCGUAUAACAAUACUCCGAGAACUGAAAGGCUUUUUGAAGUCUUCGGAUGGAUAGAAGAACCCCUGAUGCUGUCGAGCCAAGAAAAGUUUCUAAGUUUAGCUAAUGUUGCCCGUACCGUAAACCGACACAGGUGGGUGGGAUGAGUAUUCUAAGGCGCGUGGAAGAACUCUCUUUAAGGAACUCUGCAAAAUAGCACCGUAUCUUCGGUAUAAGGUGUGGUUAGCUUUGUAUUAGGAUUUACUCCGAAAGCAAGGAAACUUACAACAAAGAGUCCCUCCCGACUGUUUACCAAAAACACAGCACUCUGCUAACUCGUAAGAGGAUGUAUAGGGUGUGACGCCUGCCCGGUGCUCGAAGGUUAAUUGAUGGGGUUAGCAUUAGCGAAGCUCUUGAUCGAAGCCCGAGUAAACGGCGGCCGUAACUAUAACGGUCCUAAGGUAGCGAAAUUCCUUGUCGGUUAAAUACCGACCUGCAUGAAUGGCGUAACGAGAUGGGAGCUGUCUCAAAGAGGGAUCCAGUGAAAUUGUAGUGGAGGUGAAAAUUCCUCCUACCCGCGGCAAGACGGAAAGACCCCGUGGACCUUUACUACAGCUUGACACUGCUACUUGGAUAAGAAUGUGCAGGAUAGGUGGGAGGCUUUGAGUAUAUGACGCCAGUUGUAUAUGAGCCAUUGUUGAGAUACCACUCUUUCUUAUUUGGGUAGCUAACCAGCUUGAGUUAUCCUCAAGUGGGACAAUGUCUGGUGGGUAGUUUGACUGGGGCGGUCGCCUCCCAAAUAAUAACGGAGGCUUACAAAGGUUGGCUCAGAACGGUUGGAAAUCGUUCGUAGAGUAUAAAGGUAUAAGCCAGCUUAACUGCAAGACAUACAAGUCAAGCAGAGACGAAAGUCGGUCUUAGUGAUCCGGUGGUUCUGUGUGGAAGGGCCAUCGCUCAAAGGAUAAAAGGUACCCCGGGGAUAACAGGCUGAUCUCCCCCAAGAGCUCACAUCGACGGGGAGGUUUGGCACCUCGAUGUCGGCUCAUCGCAUCCUGGGGCUGGAGCAGGUCCCAAGGGUAUGGCUGUUCGCCAUUUAAAGCGGUACGCGAGCUGGGUUCAGAACGUCGUGAGACAGUUCGGUCCCUAUCUGCCGUGGGCGUAAGAAGAUUGAAGAGAUUUGACCCUAGUACGAGAGGACCGGGUUGAACAAACCACUGGUGUAGCUGUUGUUCUGCCAAGAGCAUCGCAGCGUAGCUAAGUUUGGAAAGGAUAAACGCUGAAAGCAUCUAAGCGUGAAGCCAACUCUAAGAUGAAUCUUCUCUAAGCUCUCUAGAAGACUACUAGUUUGAUAGGCUGGGUGUGUAAUGGAUGAAAGUCCUUUAGCUGACCAGUACUAAUAGAGCGUUUGGCUUAUCUUUAAUAAAGCAU